RNAcentral lists this unclassified non-coding RNA (253 nucleotides) under uncultured Moraxellaceae bacterium. Its description in RNAcentral is "contains 16S-23S intergenic spacer region". It matches the Rfam family "Bacterial small subunit ribosomal RNA", at positions 524 to 776 of the family's 1533-position model. Lineage: Bacteria; Pseudomonadati; Pseudomonadota; Gammaproteobacteria; Moraxellales; Moraxellaceae. The record is from RNAcentral.
UACGGAGGGAGCGAGCGUUAAUCGGAUUUACUGGGCGUAAAGGGUGCGUAGGCGGCUUUUUAAGUCGGAUGUGAAAUCCCCGAGCUUAACCUGGGAAGUGCGUUCGAUACUGGGAAGCUAGAGUAUGGGAGAGGAUGGUAGAAUUCCAGGUGUAGCGGUGAAAUGCGUAGAGAUCUGGAGGAACACCGAUGGCGAAGGCGGCCAUCUGGCCUAAUACUGACGCUGAGGUACGAAAGCAUGGGGAGCAAACAGG